AUGCUUACUUCAGCAGCACAUAUACUAAAAUUGGAAGGAUAUCGAGAAGACUAACAUGGCCCAUGAGCAAGGAUGACAUGCACAUUUUUGAAGUAUUCUUGUUUUUC
Molecule: small nuclear RNA, 107 nt
Organism: Monodelphis domestica (gray short-tailed opossum)
Lineage: Eukaryota; Metazoa; Chordata; Mammalia; Didelphimorphia; Didelphidae
Source: Ensembl